CCUUAGCCUCACAAGUCACAACCCGUGUUUGGACGGAAUUGAUCAGGGUUCAACCCGUUCUUUGUUCGAGAGUUUCAGAUGCUGGAGUCAACGUGAGGAUUCUAUUUGACGGUUUAGAUCGCAAUGUAAUUCAAACUUACGGGAUGCCAUUUAACAACCAUCUUUACUUCUUUGACCAUGGCAUGGUAAAAUCAUUCAAAAAGCUUAUUAUCUCUCUUGAGGCUGUGGAUGACACCUAUUAAAAGGCCGGCAGGACAACAUAUUCGGCUUAAAGCUCCGACGAGGCAAUGAUAAAGAGCGAGUAGAAUAAGUCCAACGAGAAGGUGUUGAACGAUCCAAUGAAACCUUAUCACGAAACACUUCUUCUUAUGUCUCUGAAACCUGGAGUCGAACUGAAUCUGACCCCAUCUUCUUAACGGAGGUGGAGCAUUCAAAGUGCACAUCAUCUCAACACUUCUGGCGAUCUGACCAGGUGUACAAGCUAGUGACCAGUAUCCACGGGAUUUUUGAGCAAAUAUCUGAAAAGAUCCUCGCGACUGAUCGGUUAAGAAGGGAGAAGCAGUUGACUACGAGAAGAAGUUGGGUUCCAUCACAAGUCGGGGCAUGAGUCUGGAGAAAUUGCAAGCCGACCUCGAUGCUAUCAGGCAAGAGAACGAAAGUCUUGAGAAACAACUUAAUUAAUGUGGUUUCUAAUACAUCAUCACUGAAAGAAACAUACAGCCUAGAGUAUUUGGAGUUAUCAGAGAGCCUUCUGUUAUUGUGCUUUCGAACUGUUUGUUUCACAGAGAAGAGUAUCUUUUUUUUUCUUUCUGAAGACUAAAGAGAAACCAAGAGCUGAUUCAGCCAACUCAUUUCUGAUAUAUAUGUGUUUGAGUAUUUGAGAAAGAAGUAAAUGAAUGUGGUUAAUAAGUUACUGAACGAAA
Raphanus sativus (radish) is the source of this 923-nucleotide long non-coding RNA. RefSeq lists it as uncharacterized. NCBI's taxonomy places the organism in Eukaryota, Viridiplantae, Streptophyta, Magnoliopsida, Brassicales, Brassicaceae. The transcript has 4 exons. The record is from RefSeq and is a predicted model, not a curated record.